GUGACCUCGGAUCAGGUAGGGAUACCCGCUGAACUUAA
RNAcentral lists this ribosomal RNA (38 nucleotides) under fungal sp. H1012. RNAcentral's name for it is "partial 28S ribosomal RNA". RNAcentral also lists the same sequence under 2 other names. Lineage: Eukaryota; Fungi. The record is from RNAcentral.